UUGUGGAGGAGGACGCCGAAGGUGGGGCUAAUGACUGGGGUGAAGUCGUAACAAGGUAGCCGUACCGGAAGGUGCGGCUGGAUCACCUCCUAACAGGGAGACAACAAAAUGUUUAAUAUUAUUAUUUUGUCACCUUAGGUCGAUCGGUAUCUCACGUUUUUAAUUUAUUAGAAAUUUCAUUUCCUAAGUUUUUCUAGGUCACACCCAUUAUUUUUCCUGGGCCAUUAGCUCAGGUGGUUAGAGCGCACCCCUGAUAAGGGUGAGGUCCCUGGUUCAAGUCCAGGAUGGCCCAUAUCUCUAUGUUGGGGGUAUAGCUCAGUUGGUAGAGCGCCUGCUUUGCAAGCAGGAUGUCAGCGGUUCGAGUCCGCUUACCUCCACUGAUUACCACCUCUUCCAUAACCGGUAGUAAAGGAAAUGUUUUGAGUUGUGAUCAAAUUCUGAAAGAAUCUAGCUUCCUAAUGAAAUCAUUAAGAUGCUGGACUCAUUGAAUUAAUCUCAUUGUUUUCAGAGAACCUUGACAACUGCAUAGAUUAUUUUUAAAGACAAUAAGCAUCUUUAAUGAUGCAGAUUUAUUAUUUGUGCGAAUGCAUUAAUAACAAUUCUAUUAAGCUGAUGCUUCAAUUUUGAAGUUAUUGGUCAAGCUACAA
This 647-nucleotide unclassified non-coding RNA is filed under the name uncultured Prochlorococcus sp. RNAcentral's name for it is "partial 16S-23S ribosomal RNA intergenic spacer; may also contain 16S ribosomal RNA and 23S ribosomal RNA". The stretch from base 305 to 377 matches the Rfam family "tRNA". Lineage: Bacteria; Bacillati; Cyanobacteriota; Cyanophyceae; Synechococcales; Prochlorococcaceae. The record is from RNAcentral.